GGGCGCAAGCCUGAUCCAGCAAUGCCGCGUGAGUGAAGAAGGCCUUCGGGUUGUAAAGCUCUUUCAGUUGAGAAGAAAAAAUUGUGGCUAAUACCNNNAAUUCAUGACGGUAUCNACAGAAGAAGCACCGGCUAACUACGUGCCAGCAGCCGCGGUAAUACGUAGGGUGCNAGCGUUAAUCGGAAUUACUGGGCGUAAAGGGUGCGCAGGCGGUUNUGUAAGUCAGAUGUGAAAUCCCCGGGCUUAACCUGGGAACUGCGUUUGAAACUACANNACUAGAGUGUGGCAGAGGGGGGUGGAAUUCCAUGUGUAGCAGUGAAAUGCGUAGAGAUAUGGAAGAACAUCGAUGGCGAAGGCAGCCCCCUGGGUUAACACUGACNCUCAUGCACGAAAGCGUGGGGAGCAAACAGGAUUAGAUACCCUGGUAGUCCACGCCCUAAACUAUGUCAACUAGUUGUCGGGUCUUAUUAGNCUUGGUAACGNAGCUAACGCGUGAAGUUGACCGCCUGGGGAGUACGGUCGCAAGAUUA
Molecule: ribosomal RNA, 530 nt
Filed under: uncultured bacterium
Lineage: Bacteria
Description: partial 16S ribosomal RNA
Rfam family: Bacterial small subunit ribosomal RNA
Source: RNAcentral